Meleagris gallopavo (turkey) is the source of this 103-nucleotide small nuclear RNA. The record is from Ensembl. Lineage: Eukaryota; Metazoa; Chordata; Aves; Galliformes; Phasianidae.
UUGCUUCAGCAGCACAUAUACUAAAAUCAGAACAAUACAGAGAAGAUUAGCAUUGGUCCUGCAUGAGGAUGACAUAAAAUUUUGUUAAGCAUUCUGUCGAGCU